GAUGAACGCUGGCGGCGUGCUUAACACAUGCAAGUCGAACGGGAAGUCUUUUAUUGAAACUUCGGUCGAUUUAAUUUAAUUCUAGUGGCGGACGGGGGAGUAACGCGUGGGUAACCUGCCUUAUACAGGGGGAUAACAGUCAGAAAUGGCAGCUAAUACCGCAUCAGCGCACAGAGCUGCAUGGCUCAGUGUGAAAAACUCCGUUGGUAUAAGAUGGACCCGCGUUGGAUUUGCUUGUUGGCAGGGUAACGGCCUACCAAGGCGACGAUCCAUAGCCGGCCUGAGAGGCUGACCGGCCACAUUUGGACUGCGGCACGGCCCAGACUCCUACGGGAGGCAGCAGUGGGGAAUAUUGCACAAUGGGGGAAGCCCUGAUGCAGCGACGCCGCGUGAAGGAAGAAGUAUCUCGGUAUGUAAACUUCUAUCAGCAGGGAAGAUAGUGACGGUACCUGACUAAGAAGCCCCGGCUAACUACGUG
Molecule: ribosomal RNA, 478 nt
Filed under: uncultured bacterium
Lineage: Bacteria
Description: partial 16S ribosomal RNA
Rfam family: Bacterial small subunit ribosomal RNA
Source: RNAcentral